CCUAAUACUGCAAGUCGAGCGGAAGAUGGGAGCUUGCUCCCUGAUGUUAGCGGCGGACGGGUGAGUAACACGUGGGUAACCUGCCUGUAAGACUGGGAUAACUCCGGGAAACCGGGGCUAAUACCGGAUGGUUGUUUGAACCGCAUGGUUCAAACAUAAAAGGUGGCUUCGGCUACCACUUACAGAUGGACCCGCGGCGCAUUAGCUAGUUGGUGAGGUAACGGCUCACCAAGGCGACGAUGCGUAGCCGACCUGAGAGGGUGAUCGGCCACACUGGGACUGAGGCACGGCCCAGACUCCUACGGGAGGCAGCAGUAGGGAAUCUUCCGCAAUGGACGAAAGUCUGACGGAGCAACGCCGCGUGAGUGAUGAAGGUUUUCGGAUCGUAAAGCUCUGUUGUUAGGGAAGAACAAGUACCGUUCGAAUAGGGCGGUACCUUGACGGUACCUAACCAGAAAGCCACGGCUAACUACGUGCCAGCAGCCGCGGUAAUACGUAGGUGGCAAGCGUUGUCCGGAAUUAUUGGGCGUAAAGGGCUCGCAGGCGGUUUCUUAAGUCUGAUGUGAAAGCCCCCGGCUCAACCGGGGAGGGUCAUUGGAAACUGGGGAACUUGAGUGCAGAAGAGGAGAGUGGAAUUCCACGUGUAGCGGUGAAAUGCGUAGAGAUGUGGAGGAACACCAGUGGCGAAGGCGACUCUCUGGUCUGUAACUGACGCUGAGGAGCGAAAGCGUGGGGAGCGAACAGGAUUAGAUACCCUGGUAGUCCACGCCGUAAACGAUGAGUGCUAAGUGUUAGGGGGUUUCCGCCCCUUAGUGCUGCAGCUAACGCAUUAAGCACUCCGCCUGGGGAGUACGGUCGCAAGACUGAAACUCAAAGGAAUUGACGGGGGCCCGCACAAGCGGUGGAGCAUGUGGUUUAAUUCGAAGCAACGCGAAGAACCUUACCAGGUCUUGACAUCCUCUGACAAUCCUAGAGAUAGGACGUCCCCUUCGGGGGCAGAGUGACAGGUGGUGCAUGGUUGUCGUCAGCUCGUGUCGUGAGAUGUUGGGUUAAGUCCCGCAACGAGCGCAACCCUUGAUCUUAGUUGCCAGCAUUCAGUUGGGCACUCUAAGGUGACUGCCGGUGACAAACCGGAGGAAGGUGGGGAUGACGUCAAAUCAUCAUGCCCCUUAUGACCUGGGCUACACACGUGCUACAAUGGACAGAACAAAGGGCAGCGAAACCGCGAGGUUAAGCCAAUCCCACAAAUCUGUUCUCAGUUCGGAUCGCAGCCUGCAACUCGACUGCGUGAAGCUGGAAUCGCUAGUAAUCGCGGAUCAGCAUGCCGCGGUGAAUACGUUCCCGGGCCUUGUACACACCGCCCGUCACACCACGAGAGUUUGUAACNCCCGAAGUCGGUGAGGUAGCCUUUUAGGAGCCAGCCGCCGAAGGUGGGACAGAUGAUUGGGGGAAGUCGAACAAGG
This 1463-nucleotide ribosomal RNA is filed under the name Bacillus subtilis. RNAcentral describes it as "16S ribosomal RNA". It matches the Rfam family "Bacterial small subunit ribosomal RNA". The record is from RNAcentral. Lineage: Bacteria; Bacillati; Bacillota; Bacilli; Caryophanales; Bacillaceae.